AUUGAACGCUGGCGGCAGGCUUAACACAUGCAAGUCGAGCGGGGUGAUGGUGCUUGCACUAUCACUUAGCGGCGGACGGGUGAGUAAUGCUUAGGAAUCUGCCUAUUAGUGGGGGACAACAUCUCGAAAGGGAUGCUAAUACCGCAUACGUCCUACGGGAGAAAGCAGGGGAUCACUUGUGACCUUGCGCUAAUAGAUGAGCAUAAGUCGGAUUAGCUAGUUGGUGGGGUAAAGGCCUACCAAGGCGACGAUCUGUAGCGGGUCUGAGAGGAUGAUCCGCCACACUGGGACUGAGACACGGUCCAGACUCCUACGGGAGGCAGCAGUGGGGAAUAUUGGACAAUGGGGGGAACCCUGAUCCAGCCAUGCCGCGUGUGUGAAGAAGGCCUUAUGGUUGUAAAGCACUUUAAGCGAGGAGGAGGCUCUUUUGGUUAAUACCCAAGAUGAGUGGACGUUACUCGCAGAAUAAGCACCGGCUAACUCUGUGCCAGCCGCCGCGGUAA
Molecule: ribosomal RNA, 503 nt
Filed under: uncultured bacterium
Lineage: Bacteria
Description: partial 16S ribosomal RNA
Rfam family: Bacterial small subunit ribosomal RNA
Source: RNAcentral